UUCCGGUUGAUCCUGCCGGAGGCUACCGCUAUUGGAGUUCGAUUAAGCCAUGCGAGUCGCGAGUCUUAGGGACUCGGCGUACCGCUCAGUAACACGUGGGUAACCUGCCCUAUGCUGGGGGAUAACCUCGGGAAACUGAGAAUAAUACCCCAUAGUUCACCACGCCUGGAACGGUGGGUGGAUGAAAGCUCCGGCGGCAUAGGAUGGGCCUGCGGCGUAUCAGGUUGUAGGGGGUGUAAUGUACCCUCUAGCCAUCUACGCGUACGGGUGUUGGGAGACAUCGCCCGGAGAUGGAUUCUGAGACACGAAUCCAGACCCUACGGGGUGCAGCAGGCGCGAAAACUUGGCAAUGCGAGCAAUCGUGACCAGGGAACUCCAAGUGCAUCGGGUAAGACCGAUGCUUUUCUUGACUCUUCAAAGGUCUUGGAAUAAGGGGUGGGUAAGGACGGUGCCAGCCGCCGCGGUAAUACCGGCGCCUCAAGUGGUAGUCGCUUUUAUUGGGCCUAAAACGUCCGUAGCCGGUUUGGUACAUUCGUGGGUAAAUCAAGGCGCUCAACGUCUUGAAUUCUGCGAGCACGGCCAGACUUGGGACCGGGUGAGGUGUGGGGUACUCUCAGGGUAGGGGUAAAAUCCUGUCAUCCUGAGAGGACCACCUGUUGCGAAGGCGCCACACUAGAACGGAUCCGACGGUCAGGGACGAAGCCUAGGGGCACGAACCGGAUUAGAUACCCGGGUAGUCCUAGGUGUAAACGCUGUGGACUUGAU
This 765-nucleotide ribosomal RNA is filed under the name uncultured Candidatus Poseidoniales archaeon. Its description in RNAcentral is "bacterial SSU rRNA". It matches the Rfam family "Archaeal small subunit ribosomal RNA", at positions 1 to 772 of the family's 1478-position model. Lineage: Archaea; Methanobacteriati; Thermoplasmatota; Candidatus Poseidoniia; Candidatus Poseidoniales. The record is from RNAcentral.